Podarcis lilfordi (Lilford's wall lizard) is the source of this 73-nucleotide non-coding RNA. The record is from the annotation of a GenBank genome assembly. Lineage: Eukaryota; Metazoa; Chordata; Lepidosauria; Squamata; Lacertidae.
GUCUGGAAGGACAGUCAGUAAAGCAUGAGACUCUUAAUCUCAGGGUUGUGGGUUCAAGCCCCACAUUGGGACA